UACGUAGGGAGCAAGCGUUGUCCGGAAUCAUUGGGCGUAAAGCGCGCGUAGGCGGCCCUGUAAGUCCGUUGUGAAAGUCAAAGGCUCAACCUUUGAAAGCCGAUGGAUACUGCAGGGCUAGAGUCCGGAAGAGGCGAGUGGAAUUCCCGGUGUAGCGGUGAAAUGCGCAGAUAUCGGGAGGAACACCAAUGGCGAAGGCAGCUCGCUGGGACGGUAUUGACGCUGAGACGCGAAAGCGUGGGGAGCAAACAGG
This 253-nucleotide ribosomal RNA is filed under the name uncultured bacterium. RNAcentral describes it as "partial 16S ribosomal RNA". It matches the Rfam family "Bacterial small subunit ribosomal RNA", at positions 524 to 776 of the family's 1533-position model. The record is from RNAcentral.